CUCCUCCACUCCAGAUGCAGGAAGCGACUCGUGUAGAGCUCCAGCAGGAGGCUGUUGAACUCUCCGUCCCUGUCCGCCGGCACCAGGAACUGGUACACCUUCCCGGGGCAAUUCCCCACACAGCUCAGGAGAACCGAAGGUUCAGCGGGCGUCCUCCAAUCCCACGACCAAGCCAGCUUCCUCUUCUAUGCCCAGGAACUCCAGAGCGGAGGUCAGCGGAGGUCAGCGAAGCUAACGGCCUCUGGAGGACAAAGGGCAGCCCUGCAGGUGUCUGCUCCGAGCUCAGCAGGGUCCGCUGUAGUACGAGGAGAAGAAACAGUCCCUAAUGGUUUUGCCUUCCUCUGAAAUCCCCAGCAAAGACUGGCGACUUCACACAGGCCGGUCGUGAACCUGCGCUCCCCUGACUGUAUGACUCCCCCUGCAUACCACACGGCCAUGCCUUUACGAGCGGAGACACGUAGGGGUAGAUGCAUUAUUAAAAGUACUGGUAAUCCCAAAAAGGAUACUGCCCCGAUCCUACACAAACACCCCUGGCACAAGAACCACAGCUAGUGACCUGCUUCUAAUAAACCUUAAAAACAAGAGAAAAAGCAGAGACAGCAGCAGGCCAAUCCGGGAUAUAUUUCUCCACAUUUUGUUUCAUUUAAAACAAUGAAUUCCCUGUGUUUAAGAUGCAGGCACUGGGUCUGUGUGCUACAGGUGGUCUGAAAUCCAAAGAGCACAUUUUGGUCUUAAAUUUCAUUUAAAACACAGAAAACACACACCCAGUCGGCUCCUGUCAUUUUAUUUAGAUUCAAUGACUUACUGAGUUCUGUUCAAUUGAUUUAAAAACAGUGGCAGAUCUCAAUACCAACCACCAAUAAAAAAAAACAUUACAAUAUCUUGUUCAUGAAAGUUUUUACAUAUUAUUACAA
Long non-coding RNA from Acipenser ruthenus (sterlet), 914 nucleotides. RefSeq lists it as uncharacterized. The record is from RefSeq and is a predicted model, not a curated record. The transcript is spliced from 2 exons. NCBI's taxonomy places the organism in Eukaryota, Metazoa, Chordata, Actinopteri, Acipenseriformes, Acipenseridae.